AAAAAGACAAACCCUAGUUUCCGUGCCUAACGUUUGAUCAUCCGUCUUAUUUGAAAAAAUUAUGAAAAAAAAUUAAAAAGACAAGUCACGCACAAAGUAUUAAUCAUGUUUUAUCAUCUAACAACAAUAAAAAUACGAAUUAUAAAAAAAUUUCAUAUAAGACGGACAGUCAAAGUUGGACACGGAAACUCAGGGUUUGCCUUUUU
Molecule: microRNA precursor, 206 nt
Filed under: Oryza glumipatula
Lineage: Eukaryota; Viridiplantae; Streptophyta; Magnoliopsida; Poales; Poaceae
Description: MIR812 microRNA precursor family
Rfam family: MIR812 microRNA precursor family
Source: Rfam by way of RNAcentral